CUUGCUGCUUUGCUGACGAGUGGCGGACGGGUGAGUAAUGUCUGGGAAACUGCCUGAUGGAGGGGGAUAACUACUGGAAACGGUAGCUAAUACCGCAUAACGUCGCAAGACCAAAGAGGGGGACCUUAGGGCCUCUUGCCAUCGGAUGUGCCCAGAUGGGAUUAGCUAGUAGGUGGGGUAACGGCUCACCUAGGCGACGAUCCCUAGCUGGUCUGAGAGGAUGACCAGCCACACUGGAACUGAGACACGGUCCAG
This 255-nucleotide ribosomal RNA is filed under the name Escherichia coli. Its description in RNAcentral is "partial 16S ribosomal RNA". It matches the Rfam family "Bacterial small subunit ribosomal RNA", at positions 79 to 334 of the family's 1533-position model. Lineage: Bacteria; Pseudomonadati; Pseudomonadota; Gammaproteobacteria; Enterobacterales; Enterobacteriaceae. The record is from RNAcentral.